RNAcentral lists this microRNA precursor (65 nucleotides) under Rattus norvegicus (Norway rat). RNAcentral describes it as "Rno-Mir-8-P2b_pre stem-loop". It matches the Rfam family "mir-8/mir-141/mir-200 microRNA precursor family", at positions 10 to 68 of the family's 72-position model. Rfam says of the family: The bounds of the precursors are predicted based on conservation and base pairing and are not generally known. The record is from RNAcentral. Lineage: Eukaryota; Metazoa; Chordata; Mammalia; Rodentia; Muridae.
CAUCUUCCAGUGCAGUGUUGGAUGGUUGAAGUACGAAGCUCCUAACACUGUCUGGUAAAGAUGGC